Molecule: ribosomal RNA, 460 nt
Filed under: uncultured bacterium
Lineage: Bacteria
Description: bacterial SSU rRNA
Rfam family: Bacterial small subunit ribosomal RNA
Source: RNAcentral
AACGAACGCUGGCGGCAGGCCUAACACAUGCAAGUCGAACGCCGUAGCAAUACGGAGUGGCAGACGGGUGAGUAACACGUGGGAACGUACCUUUCGGUUCGGAAUAACUCAGGGAAACUUGAGCUAAUACCGGAUACGUGCGAGAGCAGAAAGAUUUAUCGCCGAAAGAUCGGCCCGCGUCCGAUUAGCUUGUUGGUGAGGUAACGGCUCACCAAGGCGACGAUCGGUAGCUGGUCUGAGAGGAUGAUCAGCCACACUGGGACUGAGACACGGCCCAGACUCCUACGGGAGGCAGCAGUGGGGAAUAUUGGACAAUGGGCGCAAGCCUGAUCCAGCCAUGCCGCGUGAGUGAUGACGGCCUUAGGGUUGUAAAGCUCUUUCGCCAGAGACGAUAAUGACGGUACCUGGAUAAGAAGCCCCGGCUAACUUCGUGCCAGCAGCCGCGGUAAGGUGCGCGAGU